RNAcentral lists this ribosomal RNA (495 nucleotides) under uncultured bacterium. Its description in RNAcentral is "partial 16S ribosomal RNA". It matches the Rfam family "Bacterial small subunit ribosomal RNA", at positions 28 to 505 of the family's 1533-position model. The record is from RNAcentral.
GAUGAACGCUGGCGGCGUGCCUAAUACAUGCAAGUCGAGCGAACAGACGAGGAGCUUGCUCCUCUGACGUUAGCGGCGGACGGGUGAGUAACACGUGGAUAACCUACCUAUAAGACUGGGAUAACUUCGGGAAACCGGAGCUAAUACCGGAUAAUAUAUUGAACCGCAUGGUUCAAUAGUGAAAGACGGUUUUGCUGUCACUUAUAGAUGGAUCCGCGCCGCAUUAGCUAGUUGGUAAGGUAACGGCUUACCAAGGCAACGAUGCGUAGCCGACCUGAGAGGGUGAUCGGCAACACUGGAACUGAGACACGGUCCAGACUCCGACGGGAGGCAGCAGUAGGGAAUCUUCCGCAAUGGGCGAAAGCCUGACGGAGCAACGCCGCGUGAGUGAUGAAGGUCUUCGGAUCGUAAAACUCUGUUAUUAGGGAAGAACAAAUGUGUAAGUAACUAUGCACGUCUUGACGGUACCUAAUCAGAAAGCCACGGCUAACUACG